AUUGAUUCUCUGCUUUUUGGCUAAGACCAAGUGUAGUAUGGUUCCUGUCACCUUACUACCUGAUAGGUCUUCUACUUGAGGAUGAUAUAGUAAAUGGAUUUGGGGAGUCGGAGAUGGAAGAGGAGCUUGCUCUCUCCACUCUGCACAUCGACCCGGUAUUGCAGUCCCUCUAGGAAUGGUGCACCCCCU
Ictidomys tridecemlineatus (thirteen-lined ground squirrel) is the source of this 189-nucleotide small nuclear RNA. Its record names the gene U2. It matches the Rfam family "U2 spliceosomal RNA". From Rfam's summary of the family: U2 is a small nuclear RNA (snRNA) component of the spliceosome (involved in pre-mRNA splicing). The record is from Ensembl. NCBI's taxonomy places the organism in Eukaryota, Metazoa, Chordata, Mammalia, Rodentia, Sciuridae.